Molecule: ribosomal RNA, 372 nt
Filed under: uncultured organism
Description: partial 16S ribosomal RNA
Rfam family: Bacterial small subunit ribosomal RNA
Source: RNAcentral
GUAGGUGGCAAGCGUUGUCCGGAAUUAUUGGGCGUAAAGCGCGCGCAGGCGGUUCUUUAAGUCUGAUGUGAAAGCCCACGGCUCAACCGUGGAGGGUCAUUGGAAACUGGAGAACUUGAGUACAGAAGAGGAAAGCGGAAUUCCACGUGUAGCGGUGAAGUGCGUAGAGAUGUGGAGGAACACCAGUGGCGAAGGCGGCUUUCUGGUCUGUAACUGACGCUGAGGCGCGAAAGCGUGGGGAGCAAACAGGAUUAGAUACCCUGGUAGUCCACGCCGUAAACGAUGAGUGCUAAGUGUUAGGGGGUUUCCGCCCCCCUUAGUGCUGCAGCUAACGCAUUAAGCACUCCGCCUGGGAGUACGGCCGCAAGGCUG